GAUGAACGCUGGCGGCGUGCCUAAUACAUGCAAGUCGAGCGAACGGACGAGAAGCUUGCUUCUCUGAUGUUAGCGGCGGACGGGUGAGUAACACGUGGAUAACCUACCUAUAAGACUGGGAUAACUUCGGGAAACCGGAGCUAAUACCGGAUGAUAUUUUGAACCUCAUGGUUCAAAAGUGAAAGACGGUCUUGCUGUCACUUAUAGAUGGAUCCGCGCUGCAUUAGCUAGUUGGUAAGGUAACGGCUUACCAAGGCAACGAUGCAUAGCCGACCUGAGAGGGUGAUCGGCCACACUGGAACUGAGACACGGUCCAGACUCCCACGGGAGGCAGCAGUAGGGAAUCUUCCGCAAUGGGCGAAAGCCUGACGGAGCAACGCCGCGUGAGGGAUGAAGGUCUUCGGAUCGUAAAACUCUGUUAUUAGGGAAGAACAUAUGUGUAAGUAACUGUGCACAUCUUGACGGUACCUAAUCAGAAAGCCACGGCUAACUACGUG
Molecule: ribosomal RNA, 497 nt
Filed under: uncultured bacterium
Lineage: Bacteria
Description: partial 16S ribosomal RNA
Rfam family: Bacterial small subunit ribosomal RNA
Source: RNAcentral